GAUGAAGAACGUAUCAAAAUGCGAUAAGUAAUGUGAAUUGCAGAAUUCAGUGAAUCAUCGAAUCUUUGAACGCACAUUGCGCCCGCUGGUAUUCCGGCGGGCAUGCCUGUUCGAGCGUCAUUUCAACCCUCAAGCCCCCGGGUUUGGUGUUGGGGAUCGGCUCUGCCCUUCUGGGCGGUGCCGCCCCCGAAAUACAUUGGCGGUCUCGCUGCAGCCUCCAUUGCGUAGUAGCUAACACCUCGCAACUGGAACGCGGCGCGGCCAUGCCGUAAAACCCCAACUUCUGAAUGUUGACCUCGGAUCAGGUAGGAAUACCCGCUGAACUUAAGCAUAUCAAUAAGCGGAGGA
This 348-nucleotide unclassified non-coding RNA is filed under the name soil metagenome. RNAcentral's name for it is "partial contains 5.8S ribosomal RNA, internal transcribed spacer 2, and large subunit ribosomal RNA". The stretch from base 1 to 120 matches the Rfam family "5.8S ribosomal RNA", at positions 35 to 154 of the family's 154-position model. The record is from RNAcentral.